This 468-nucleotide ribosomal RNA is filed under the name uncultured bacterium. RNAcentral describes it as "partial 16S ribosomal RNA". It matches the Rfam family "Bacterial small subunit ribosomal RNA", at positions 28 to 507 of the family's 1533-position model. The record is from RNAcentral.
GACGAACGCUGGCGGCGUGCUUAACACAUGCAAGUCGAACGGAAAGGCCCUGCUCUUGUGGGGUGCUCGAGUGGCGAACGGGUGAGUAACACGUGAGUAACCUGCCCUUGACUUUGGGAUAACUUCAGGAGACUCGGGCUAAUACCGGAUAGGAGCUCCUGCUGCAUGGUGGGGGUUGGAAAGUUUCGGCGGUUGGGGAUGGACUCGCGGGUUAUCAGCUUGUUGGUGGGGUAGUGGCUUACCAAGGCUUUGAGGGGUAGCCGGCCUGGGAGGGUGACCGGCCACAUUGGGACUGAGAUACGCACCAGAAGCCUACGGGAGGCAGAAGUGGGGAGUAUGGCAGAAUGGGGGGAAGUCAGAUGCAGCAGCGCCGCGUGCGUGAUGACGGCCUUCGGGUGGUAAACCGCUUUCGCCGGUGACGAAGCGUGAGUGACGGUAAUGGGUAAAGAAGCACCGGCUAACUACGUG